RNAcentral lists this ribosomal RNA (529 nucleotides) under uncultured bacterium. RNAcentral's name for it is "bacterial SSU rRNA". It matches the Rfam family "Bacterial small subunit ribosomal RNA", at positions 353 to 873 of the family's 1533-position model. The record is from RNAcentral.
AGUAGGGAAUAUUGGACAAUGGGCGCAAGCCUGGUCCAGCCAUGCCGCGUGAGUGAAGAAGGCCCUCGGGUUGUAAAGCUCUUUUGUUGGGGAAGAAAAGCAGUUGGUUAAUACCCGAUUGUUCUGACGGUACCCAAAGAAUAAGCACCGGCUAACUUCGUGCCAGCAGCCGCGGUAAUACGAAGGGUGCAAGCGUUACUCGGAAUUACUGGGCGUAAAGCGUGCGUAGGUGGUUGUUUAAGUCUGAUGUGAAAGCCCUGGGCUCAACCUGGGAAUGGCAUUGGAUACUGGAUAGCUAGAGUGCGGUAGAGGGUAGUGGAAUUCCCGGUGUAGCAGUGAGAUGCGUAGAGAUCGGGAGGAACAUCCGUGGCGAAGGCGACUACCUGGGCCAGCACUGACACUGAGGCACGAAAGCGUGGGGAGCAAACAGGAUUAGAUACCCUGGUAGUCCACGCCCUAAACGAUGCGAACUGGAUGUUGGGCUCAACUUGGAGCUCAGUAUCGAAGCUAACGCGUUAAGUUCGCCGCC